AACGGCCGUAUCAUGCUGAAUAUACCGGUUCUCGUUAGAUCACCGAAGUCAAGCAUCAUUGGGCGCGGUCAGUACUUGGGUGGGUGACCACCUGGGAACACCGCGUGCUGUU
RNAcentral lists this ribosomal RNA (112 nucleotides) under Caerostris darwini. Lineage: Eukaryota; Metazoa; Arthropoda; Arachnida; Araneae; Araneidae. The record is from RNAcentral.